UCGUGAGCUCAAGCAAUCCACCUGCCUCUGCCUCCCAGAGUGCUAGGCAUGGGCCACCAUGCCCAGCCAAUUGU
RNAcentral lists this microRNA precursor (74 nucleotides) under Otolemur garnettii (small-eared galago). RNAcentral describes it as "miRNA (ENSOGAG00000033530.1)". Lineage: Eukaryota; Metazoa; Chordata; Mammalia; Primates; Galagidae. The record is from RNAcentral.